This 465-nucleotide ribosomal RNA is filed under the name uncultured bacterium. RNAcentral describes it as "partial 16S ribosomal RNA". It matches the Rfam family "Bacterial small subunit ribosomal RNA", at positions 28 to 507 of the family's 1533-position model. The record is from RNAcentral.
GACGAACGCUGGCGGCGUGCUUAACACAUGCAAGUCGAACGGAAAGGCCCUGCUUGCAGGGUACUCGAGUGGCGAACGGGUGAGUAACACGUGGGUGAUCUGCCCUGCACUUCGGGAUAAGCCUGGGAAACUGGGUCUAAUACCGGAUAGGAGCCAUUUUUAGUGUGAUGGUUGGAAAGUUUUUUCGGUGUAGGAUGAGCUCGCGGCCUAUCAGCUUGUUGGUGGGGUAAUGGCCUACCAAGGCGGCGACGGGUAGCCGGCCUGAGAGGGUGGACGGCCACAUUGGGACUGAGAUACGGCCCAGACGCCGACGGGAGGCAGCAGUGGGGAAUAUUGCACAAUGGGCGCAAGCCUGAUGCAGCGACGCCGCGUGGGGGAUGACGGCCUUCGGGUUGUAAACUCCUUUCGCUAGGGACGAAGCUUUUUGUGACGGUACCUAGAUAAGAAGCACCGGCUAACUACGUG